RNAcentral lists this ribosomal RNA (459 nucleotides) under uncultured bacterium. RNAcentral describes it as "partial 16S ribosomal RNA". It matches the Rfam family "Bacterial small subunit ribosomal RNA", at positions 338 to 795 of the family's 1533-position model. The record is from RNAcentral.
CCUACGGGGGGCUGCAGUGAGGAAUAUUGGUCAAUGGUCGGGAGACUGAACCAGCCAAGCCGCGUGAGGGAGGAAGGUACAGAGUAUCGUAAACCUCUUUUGUCAGGGAACAAAGGCGGGGACGUGUCCCCGGAUGAGUGUACCUGAAGAAAAAGCAUCGGCUAACUCCGUGCCAGCAGCCGCGGUAAUACGGAGGAUGCGAGCGUUAUCCGGAUUUAUGGGGUUUAAAGGGUGCGCAGGCGGUCUGUUAAGUCAGCGGUCAAAGCCCGGGGCUCAACCCCGGCCCGCCGUUGAAACUGGCAGUCUCGAGUUGGAGAGAAGUAUGCGGAAUGCGCGGUGUAGCGGUGAAAUGCAUAGAUAUCGCGCAGAACUCCGAUUGCGAAGGCAGCAUGCCGGCUCCACACUGACGCUGAGGCACGAAAGCGUGGGUAUCGAACAGGAUUAGAUACCCCUGUAGUC